GACGCUGAACUUGGUCUUGAAUGAAGCUAUGGAGUUUAUUAAAGGUAAGAAACAUGCUUAGUCAGUUUUGUAUGUAUGAGGUGAAGCUCCAUUGCAGUGUAAUAGUUUAGUCAGUCUUAGAGCAUGGUUAUUUUCCUAGAGGAUGUUUAUUUCAUUUAUAUCAGUUUAGUCACUUGUUGGUUUAUUGCCUUGAAAGCUCACAACUGAAGGAGAAUGGUUUGUAGUACAGGAUUCAAC
This 237-nucleotide long non-coding RNA is filed under the name Panax ginseng (ginseng). RNAcentral describes it as "long non-coding RNA (PGIN_LNC003681)". Lineage: Eukaryota; Viridiplantae; Streptophyta; Magnoliopsida; Apiales; Araliaceae. The record is from RNAcentral.